This 618-nucleotide ribosomal RNA is filed under the name Propionicimonas sp. RNAcentral's name for it is "partial 23S ribosomal RNA". It matches the Rfam family "Bacterial large subunit ribosomal RNA", at positions 1 to 573 of the family's 2925-position model. The record is from RNAcentral. RNAcentral also lists the same sequence under 1 other name. Lineage: Bacteria; Bacillati; Actinomycetota; Actinomycetes; Propionibacteriales; Nocardioidaceae.
AUUCAAGUUAUGAAGGGCCAACGGUGAAUGCCUUGGCGUCUGCUGCCGAUGAAGGACGUGGGAGGCUGCGAUAAGCCACGGGGAAGUGCCGACCAACUGUCGAUCCGUGGAUGUCCGAAUGGGGAAACCCAGCACCCGUAAUGGGGUGUUACUCCGACCUGAACGCAUAGGGUCGGUAGAGGGAACUGCGUGAACUGAAACAUCUCAGUAACGCGAGGAACGUAAAGCAAAAGCGACUCCCUGAGUAGCGGCGAGCGAAAUGGGAUCAGCCUAAACCGUACUGGUGUUAAAGCCCGAUGGCGUUGCCAGUGUGGGGUUGUGGGAACCAACCGAGGGAACAUCGGACCCUCAAGGAGUUACAAAACUGAUGACUAGUGGAAGCGUCCUGUGAACGGCGCGCCGUAGAGGGUAAGAGCCCCGUACACGAAAGUUAUCAGUCUCCUGUUGUGUCUCCCGAGUAACGCCGGAUCCGGGAAAGCCGGCGUGAAUCAGCGAGGACCACCUCGUAAGGCUAAGUACAUGCAGACGACCGAUAGUGAACUAGUACCGUGAGGGAAAGGUGAAAAGUACCCCGGGAGGGGAGUGAAAUAGUACCUGAAACCGUUGGUCUACAAACAG